RNAcentral lists this ribosomal RNA (524 nucleotides) under uncultured fungus. Its description in RNAcentral is "LSU rRNA". It matches the Rfam family "Eukaryotic large subunit ribosomal RNA", at positions 38 to 667 of the family's 3401-position model. The record is from RNAcentral. Lineage: Eukaryota; Fungi.
GCAUAUCAAUAAGCGGAGGAAAAGAACCAACAGGGAUUGCCCUAGUAACGGCGAGUGAACAGGCAAGAGCUCAGAUUUGAAAGCCUUUUUGGCAUUGUAUUCUGAAGUCAGUUUCCUGAGUAUCGGUGUUUAAGUCUUCUGGAAAGGAGCGCCAUGGAGGGUGAUAGCCCCGUACGACACCUCACUCAUUGUAGGAUUCUGACGUGGAGUCGAGUUGUUUGGGAAUGCAGCUCAAAAGGGUGGUAUGCUCCAUCUAAAGCUAAAUAUCUGUGAGAGACCGAUAGCGAACAAGUACUGUGAAGGAAAGAUGAAAAGAACUUUGAAAAGAGAGUGAAAAAGUACGUGAAAUUGUUGAAAUGGAAGGAUAUGCCGCUAACAAUGUAGAGCCGUGUUUGGGGGGAAGACAAAAGCUGAAGAAUGUAUCUCUUUUAGGGAAUUAUAACUUCAGUCAAUAUUCCCAUCCGGGCGCGAGGACCUCAGGCUCUACUAAAUGGUGGUCUAUCACCCGUCUUGAAACACGGACC